RNAcentral lists this ribosomal RNA (253 nucleotides) under uncultured bacterium. RNAcentral describes it as "partial 16S ribosomal RNA". It matches the Rfam family "Bacterial small subunit ribosomal RNA", at positions 524 to 776 of the family's 1533-position model. The record is from RNAcentral.
UACGUAGGGUGCGAGCGUUAAUCGGAAUUACUGGGCGUAAAGCGUGCGCAGGCGGUUUUGUAAGCCAGAUGUGAAAUCCCCGGGCUUAACCUGGGAACUGCAUUUGUGACUGCAUAGCUAGAGUACGGUAGAGGGGGAUGGAAUUCCGCGUGUAGCAGUGAAAUGCGUAGAUAUGCGGAGGAACACCGAUGGCGAAGGCGGUUCUCUGGGACGGUACUGACGCUGAGACGCGAAAGCGUGGGGAGCAAACAGG